AGUGAACGCUGGCGGCGUGCUUAACACAUGCAAGUCGAACGAGAACGGAAUAUAGCUUGCUAUAUUUGUCAGCUAAGUGGCGCACGGGUGAGUAAUGUAUAGAUAACCUGCCCUUAAGAAAGGAAUAACAGUUGGAAACGACUGCUAAUGCCCUAUAUGCCUUUAAUACAUAAGUAUGCAAGGGAAACGCUUUAGUGCUUAAGGAUGGGUCUGUAUGGUAUCAGCUUGUUGGUGAGGUAAUGGCUCACCAAGGCUAUGACGCCUAACUGGUUUGAGAGGAUGAUCAGUCACACUGGAACUGAGACACGGUCCAGACUCCUACGGGAGGCAGCAGUGGGGAAUAUUGCACAAUGGACGAAAGUCUGAUGCAGCAACGCCGCGCGGAGGAUGACACAUUUCGGUGCGUAAACUCCUUUUAUAUAGGAAGAUAAUGACGGUACUAUAUGAAUAAGCACCGGCUAACUCCGUGCCAGCAGCAGCCGCCG
RNAcentral lists this ribosomal RNA (485 nucleotides) under uncultured bacterium. Its description in RNAcentral is "partial 16S ribosomal RNA". It matches the Rfam family "Bacterial small subunit ribosomal RNA", at positions 29 to 523 of the family's 1533-position model. The record is from RNAcentral.